Molecule: long non-coding RNA, 515 nt
Organism: Manduca sexta (tobacco hornworm)
Lineage: Eukaryota; Metazoa; Arthropoda; Insecta; Lepidoptera; Sphingidae
Exons: 2
Source: RefSeq, a predicted model, not a curated record
AUACAUCCUUUUUUACUUGUGUUAAAUUAUAAUUGAUAUAUCCGUCAUAUCCUCCUCUAGAUCAAAAUAAGCAAUCCCUUUCCCCCUUCUGAAUUAAAAACUGUCUACACCCGUGAGCAUUACAAAUAAUAGUAAAAGUCACUCCAUAGCCUAUGUGAUUUAUAUUAUGAAAAUUAUUUUUAAUAACAUAACCUAACAGCAACCUAUGAGUUUGGAAGAAAUCCACACAGUGCUAACAGCAGCGAGCGGAGGGAGCGGGGCUAAGUAUGACGUCGUCUACAAAUGGUUCGCGGAGUGCGGUAUUAUUGAUGGUCAACUAAUCGAUGAAGAAUUGUAUGAGAGAUCGUACGUUAGAAUAAAUCCAAACAAAGAAGAUUUAUCUCUCGUACAAUUCAUACAACUCGUAGGAAUACUAUCACGGCACGCGAGGAAAGAUUCGACAGAGUUCAUACGGAAAUUCGAAACUGUGAAAAAUAUUGUUAUUGAUGAAAUAAGAGCUGCUUUUGACUCCUAAA